AUGGGUAGAGAGAAGGAGAAAGGAGAGGUUGGGUUUAGAAGGAAAAGGGUUGAUUCUUUAUAGUAAUGGCGUUGGAGGGGUGGAGAAUGGAAUAGGACGACGACGACCUAUUUGGCGUAAACGAGACUCAAAACCUUCCUUUUGACGCCUCUU
Molecule: long non-coding RNA, 153 nt
Organism: Telopea speciosissima
Lineage: Eukaryota; Viridiplantae; Streptophyta; Magnoliopsida; Proteales; Proteaceae
Exons: 3
Source: RefSeq, a predicted model, not a curated record